Molecule: small RNA, 582 nt
Filed under: Pongo abelii (Sumatran orangutan)
Lineage: Eukaryota; Metazoa; Chordata; Mammalia; Primates; Hominidae
Description: processed transcript
Source: RNAcentral
AGCAGUGCGAGCCCAGCUGGAGUAGGAGCGCGGACUCGAGGCUUGGGGCGCGCAGCCCCGGUUCCGCCGAGAGCCGGGGCCCCAGUCGGCCGCUUCAGGGCCCCGUAGACUCAGAGAAGCGGGCCUCCGUGAACCCCUCCCUGGUGAAGGUGCACAUUCACCACCCGCCUGAGGCCUCAGUGCAGAUCCACCAGGUGGCCCAGGUGCGGGGCGGGGUGGAGGAGGCCCUAGUGGAGAACAGCGUGGAGACCAGACCCCCGCCCUGGCUGCCUGCCAGCCCUGGCCACAGCCUCUGGGACAGCAACAACAUCCCUGCUCGGUCUGGAGAGCCCCCUCGGCCACUGCCCCCAGCAGCACCUAGGCCUCGAGGACUGCUGGGCCGGUGUUACCUGAACACUGUGAACGGACAGUGUGCCAACCCUCUGCUGGAGCUGGCUACGCAGGAGGAUUGCUGUGGCAGUGUGGGAGCCUUCUGGGGGGUGACUUUGUGUGCCCCAUGCCCACCCAGCCCAGCCUUCCCGGUGAUUGAGAAUGGCCAGCUGGAGUGUCCUCGGGGGUACAAGAGACUGAACCUCACUCACU